RNAcentral lists this ribosomal RNA (253 nucleotides) under uncultured bacterium. Its description in RNAcentral is "partial 16S ribosomal RNA". It matches the Rfam family "Bacterial small subunit ribosomal RNA", at positions 524 to 776 of the family's 1533-position model. The record is from RNAcentral.
CACGUAGGGGACGAGCGUUGUCCGGAAUCAUUGGGCGUAAAGGGCGUGUAGGCGGUCAAGUAAGUGGGAUGUGAAAUCCCUCGGCUUACCCGAGGACCUGCAUCCCAAACUGCUUGGCUUGAGUAUGGGAGAGGAUGAGGGAAUUCCUGGUGUAGCGGUGAAAUGCGUAGAUAUCAGGAGGAACACCGGUGGCGAAGGCGCUCAUCUGGCCCAAUACUGACGCUGAGGCGCGAAAGCUAGGGGAGCGAACGGG